GGGUUAGGGUUAGGGUUAGGGUUAGGGUUAGGGUUAGGGUUAGGGUUAGGGUUAGGGUUAGGGUUAGGGUUAGGGUUAGGGUUAGGGUUAGGGUUAGGGUUAGGGUUAGGGUUAGGGUUAGGGUUAGGGUUAGGCUUAGGAUUAGGGUUAGGGUUAGGGUUAGGGUUAGCGUAGGGUUAGGGUUAGGGUUAGGGUUAGCGUUUGGGUUAGGGUUAGGGUUAGGGUUACGGUUAGGGUUAGGGUUAGGGUUACGGUUAGGGUUAGGGUUAGGGUUAGGGUUAGGGUUAGGGUUAGGGUUAGGGUUAGGGUUAGGGUUAGGGUUUAGGGUUAGGUUAGGGUUAGGGUUAGGGUUAGGGUUAGGGUUAGGGUUAGGGUUAGGGUUAGGGUUAGGGUUAGGGUUAGGGUUAGGGUUAGGGUUAGGGUUAGGGUUAGGGUUAGGGUUAGGGUUAGCGUUAGGGUUAGGGUUAGGGUUAGGGUUACGGUUAGGGUUAGGUUUAGGGUUAGGGUUAGGGUUAGGGUUAGGGUUAGGGUUAGGGUUAGGGUUAGGGUUAGGGUUAGGGUUAGGGUUAGGGUUAGGGUUAGGGUUAGGGUUAGGG
This is a long non-coding RNA of Gallus gallus (chicken), 596 nucleotides long. The record is from Ensembl. NCBI's taxonomy places the organism in Eukaryota, Metazoa, Chordata, Aves, Galliformes, Phasianidae.